Molecule: ribosomal RNA, 409 nt
Filed under: bacterium
Lineage: Bacteria
Description: partial 16S ribosomal RNA
Rfam family: Bacterial small subunit ribosomal RNA
Source: RNAcentral
UGGGGAAUAUUGCACAAUGGGGGAAACCCUGAUGCAGCAACGCCGCGUGCGGGAUGACGGCCUUCGGGUUGUAAACCGCUUUCAGCCAUGACGAAGCUUUUGUGACGGUAGUGGCAGAAGAAGCACCGGCUAACUACGUGCCAGCAGCCGCGGUGAUACGUAGGGUGCGAGCGUUGUCCGGAAUUAUUGGGCGUAAAGAGCUUGUAGGCGGUUUGUCGCGUCGAAAGUGUAAACUCAGUGCUUAACGCUGAGCCUGCUUUCGAUACGGGCUGACUAGAGGAAGGUAGGGGAGAAUGGAAUUCCCGGUGGAGCGGUGGAAUGCGCAGAUAUCGGGAGGAACACCAGUGGCGAAGGCGGUUCUCUGGACCUUUCCUGACGCUGGGAAGCGAAAGCGUGGGUAGCAAACAGG